CCCUUAGAUGUUCUGGGCCGCACGCGCGCUACACUGACGAAGUCAGCGAGCAUGUCCUACGCCGACAGGUGCGGGGAAUCUUGUCAAACUUCGUCGUGAUGGGGAUUGAUUUUUGAAAUUCUUGAUCAUAAACGAGGAAUUCCUAGUAAGCGCAAGUCAGCAGCUUGCGUUGAUUACGUCCCUGCCCUUUGUACACACCGCCCGUCGCUACCACCGAUUGAAUGGUUUAGUGAGAUCUUCGGAUUGGCGCCACUGCAGCUCAGCAAUGGGCUUGGUGGAUGCCGAAAAGUUGAUCAAACUUGAUCAUUUAGAGGAAGUAAAAGUCGUAACA
Molecule: ribosomal RNA, 331 nt
Filed under: uncultured eukaryote
Lineage: Eukaryota
Description: partial 18S ribosomal RNA
Rfam family: Eukaryotic small subunit ribosomal RNA
Source: RNAcentral